Molecule: ribosomal RNA, 453 nt
Filed under: uncultured bacterium
Lineage: Bacteria
Description: bacterial SSU rRNA
Rfam family: Bacterial small subunit ribosomal RNA
Source: RNAcentral
AGAGUUUGAUCCUGGCUCAGGACGAACGCUGGCGGCGCGCCUAACACAUGCAAGUCGAACGGAGUUAUUUUGGCAGAAGCCUUCGGGUGGACGCUGAUAUGACUUAGUGGCGAACGGGUGAGUAACACGUGAGCAACCUGCCCUUCAGAGGGGGACAACAGUUGGAAACGACUGCUAAUACCGCAUAAGACCACGGUGUGGCAUCACACAGAGGUCAAAGGAGAAAUCCGCUGAAGGAUGGGCUCGCGUCCAAUUAGCUAGAUGGUGAGGUAACGGCCCACCAUGGCGACGAUUGGUAGCCGGACUGAGAGGUUGAUCGGCCACAUUGGGACUGAGACACGGCCCAGACUCCUACGGGAGGCAGCAGUGGGGAAUAUUGCACAAUGGAGGAAACUCUGAUGCAGCGACGCCGCGUGAGGGAAGAAGGUCUUCGGAUUGUAAACCUCUGUUGUC